Molecule: ribosomal RNA, 516 nt
Filed under: uncultured bacterium
Lineage: Bacteria
Description: partial 16S ribosomal RNA
Rfam family: Bacterial small subunit ribosomal RNA
Source: RNAcentral
GACGAACGCUGGCGGCGUGCCUAACACAUGCAAGUCGAACGGAGUGUUUAUUUAUAAACACUUAGUGGCGAACGGGUGAGUAACGCGUAGACAACCUACCCUCUAGAUGGGGACAACACCGCGAAAGGGGUGCUAAUACCGAAUGUUGUAAUGUUGUUGCAUAAUGAUAUUACUAAAGGUGGCCUCUAUAUAAAAGCUACCGCUAGAAGAUGGGUCUUCGUCUGAUUAGCUAGUUGGUGAGAUAACAGCUCACCAAGGCAAUGAUCAGUAGCCGGUCUGAGAGGAUGAACGGCCACACUGGGACUGAGACACGGCCCAGACUCCUACGGGAGGCAGCAGUGGGGAAUCUUCCGCAAUGGACGAAAGUCUGACGGAGCAACGCCGCGUGAGUGAAGAAGGUUUUCGGAUCGUAAAGCUCUGUCUUCAAGGACGAAUGUAGAUAUUGUGACUAAUGAUAUUUAAUGACGGUACUUGGGGAGGAAGCCACGGCUAACUCCGUGCCAGCAGCCGCGGUAA